AGCCUUAUAGUCAUAAAAAUGAUUUUAAAUUGCAAAUUUAAAGGAGAUAAAAUAUCUAAGGCUU
This 64-nucleotide transfer RNA is filed under the name Lamiinae sp. GENSP01. Its description in RNAcentral is "tRNA-Cys". Lineage: Eukaryota; Metazoa; Arthropoda; Insecta; Coleoptera; Cerambycidae. The record is from RNAcentral.